This 1756-nucleotide ribosomal RNA is filed under the name Ruminococcus sp. A254.MGS-254. Its description in RNAcentral is "bacterial LSU rRNA". It matches the Rfam family "Bacterial large subunit ribosomal RNA", at positions 1086 to 2925 of the family's 2925-position model. Lineage: Bacteria; Bacillati; Bacillota; Clostridia; Eubacteriales; Oscillospiraceae. The record is from RNAcentral.
CAGACAACCAGGAUGUUGGCUUAGAAGCAGCCACUCAUUAAAAGAGUGCGUAAUAGCUCACUGGUCGAGUGACCCUGCGCCGAAAAUUUAACGGGGCUAAACAGUAUACCGAAGCUUGGGAUUCCGUGAGGAAUGGUAGGAGAGCGUCGAAUGAGGGGUGAAGUCAUAGCGGAAGCGGUGGUGGACUUCAUUCGAGUGAGAAUGCCGGAAUGAGUAGCGCGAAAUGUGUGAGAAUCAUAUUGGCCGAAAGUCUAAGGUUUUUGGAGGAAGGUUCGUCCGCUCCAAGUAAGCCGGGAGCUAAGGCGAGGCCGAAAGGCGUAGUCGAUGCACAUACGGUGGAAAUUCCGUAGCCGCCAAAAGAUUUAAGAUAAGGGACACCCUAGAAAGGCAUGACCCGGGCGAUGGUUGCCCCGGGCGUAAGGGACCGAAAUUAGAGUAGGGAAGCAUGCUGGACGGGGGGCGAGAAAAGCUUAUUGUAUAUCUGAGGCGCCCGUACCGCAAACCGACACAGGUAGAUGGGAAGAGAAUUCUAAGGCCAACGGGAGAAGGGUAGUUAAGGAACUCGGCAAAUUGGUCCCGUAACUUAGGGAAAAGGGACGCCACGGAGACGUGGCCGCAGUGAAUAGGCCCAGGCGACUGUUUAGCAAAAACACAGGUCUCUGCUAAAUCGAAAGAUGAAGUAUAGGGGCUGACACCUGCCCGGUGCUGGAAGGUUAAGAGGAGAUGUGCAAGCAUUGAAUUGAAGCCCCAGUAAACGGCGGCCGUAACUAUAACGGUCCUAAGGUAGCGAAAUUCCUUGUCGGGUAAGUUCCGACCCGCACGAAUGGUGUAACGAUCUGGGCACUGUCUCAAUUACCCGCCCGGCGAAAUUGUAGUACCGGUGAAGAUGCCGGUUACCCGCGACAAGACGGAAAGACCCCAUGGAGCUUUACUGCAGUUUAAUAUUGGGUUUCGGUAAUUUAUGUACAGGAUAGGUGGGAGACUGGGAAGCCAGCACGCCAGUGUUGGUGGAGUCACCCUUGGGAUACCACCCUUAAGUUGCUGGAAUUCUAACCUGCGGCCGUGAAUCCGGCCGGGGGACAUUGUUAGACGGGCAGUUUGACUGGGGCGGUCGCCUCCAAAAAGGUAACGGAGGCGCUCAAAGGUUGGCUCAGCACGGACGGAAACCGUGCUUUAGAGUGUAAACGCGUAAGCCAGCCUAACUGCGAGGGUGACGGCCCGAGCAGUAACGAAAGUUGGAGUUAGUGAUCCGGCGGUAUGAGAGUGGAAUUGCCGUCGCUCAACGGAUAAAAGCUACCCUGGGGAUAACAGGCUGAUCUCCCCCAAGAGUCCACAUCGACGGGGAGGUUUGGCACCUCGAUGUCGGCUCAUCACAUCCUGGGGCUGUAUUCGGUCCCAAGGGUUCGGCUGUUCGCCGAUUAAAGUGGUACGCGAGCUGGGUUCAGAACGUCGUGAGACAGUUCGGUCCCUAUCUGUCGUGGGCGUAGGAUAUUUGAGGAGAGCUGUCCUUAGUACGAGAGGACCGGGAUGGACGCACCUCUGGCGCACCAGUUGUUCCGCCAGGAGCACAGCUGGGCAACUAUGUGCGGAUCGGAUAAACGCUGAAAGCAUCUAAGCGUGAAGCCGACUCCAAGAUAAGAUAUCCCAUAGCGUAAGCUAGUAAGGCCCCUUGAAGACUACAAGGUUGAUAGGCUGCGUGUGUAAGCAUGGUAACAUGUUCAGCUUGGCAGUACUAAUAGGCCGAGGGCUUGACCAU